RNAcentral lists this ribosomal RNA (973 nucleotides) under seawater metagenome. RNAcentral describes it as "bacterial LSU rRNA". It matches the Rfam family "Bacterial large subunit ribosomal RNA", at positions 1954 to 2925 of the family's 2925-position model. The record is from RNAcentral.
AGGUAGCGAAAUUCCUUGUCGGGUAAGUUCCGACCCGCACGAAAGGCGUAACGAUUUGGGCACUGUCUCAACGAGAGACUCGGUGAAAUCAUAGUACCUGUGAAGAUGCAGGUUACCCGCGACAGGACGGAAAGACCCCGUGGAGCUUUACUGUAGCCUGAUAUUGAAAUUCGGCACAGCUUGUACAGGAUAGGUAGGAGCCUUUGAAACGUGAGCGCUAGCUUACGUGGAGGCGUUGGUGGGAUACUACCCUAGCUGUGUUGGCUUUCUAACCCGCACCACUUAUCGUGGUGGGAGACAGUGUCAGGCGGGCAGUUUGACUGGGGCGGUCGCCUCCUAAAAGGUAACGGAGGCGCUCAAAGGUUCCCUCAGAAUGGUUGGAAAUCAUUCAUAGAGUGUAAAGGCAUAAGGGAGCUUGACUGCGAGACCUACAAGUCGAGCAGGGUCGAAAGACGGACUUAGUGAUCCGGUGGUUCCGCAUGGAAGGGCCAUCGCUCAACGGAUAAAAGCUACCCUGGGGAUAACAGGCUUAUCUCCCCCAAGAGUUCACAUCGACGGGGAGGUUUGGCACCUCGAUGUCGGCUCGUCGCAUCCUGGGGCUGUAGUCGGUCCCAAGGGUUGGGCUGUUCGCCCAUUAAAGCGGUACGCGAGCUGGGUUCAGAACGUCGUGAGACAGUUCGGUCCCUAUCCGUCGCGGGCGUAGGAAAUUUGAGAGGAUCUGCUCCUAGUACGAGAGGACCAGAGUGGACUUACCGCUGGUGUACCAGUUGUCUUGCCAAAGGCAUCGCUGGGUAGCUAUGUAGGGAAGGGAUAAACGCUGAAAGCAUCUAAGUGUGAAACCCACCUCAAGAUGAGAUUUCCCAUGAUUUUAUAUCAGUAAGAGCCCUGAGAGAUGAUCAGGUAGAUAGGUUAGAAGUGGAAGUGUGGCGACACAUGUAGCGGACUAAUACUAAUAGCUCGAGGACUUAUCCCU